Molecule: ribosomal RNA, 245 nt
Filed under: uncultured bacterium
Lineage: Bacteria
Description: partial 16S ribosomal RNA
Rfam family: Bacterial small subunit ribosomal RNA
Source: RNAcentral
UAAAGUGGCGACCGGGUGAGUAACACGUGACUAACCUACCCUCGAGUGGGGAAUAACUCCGGGAAACCGGGGCUAAUACCGCAUAACAUCUUCGGAACGCGAGUUCUGUUGAUCAAAGGAGCAAUUCGCUUGAGGAGGGAGUCGCGGCUGAUUAGCUAGUUGGCGGGGUAAUGGCCCACCAAGGCUUAGAUCGGUAGCCGGCCUGAGAGGGCGCACGGCCACACUGGAACUGAAACACGGUCCAG